UACGGAGGGUGCAAGCGUUAUCCGGAUUCACUGGGCUUAAAGGGCGCGUAGGAGGGCAGGUAAGUCAGUGGUGAAAUCCCCGUGCUUAACAUGGGAACUGCCGUUGAUACUAUCUGUCUUGAAUGCCGUGGAGAUGAGCGGAAUAUGUCAUGUAGCGGUGAAAUGCUUAGAUAUGACAUAGAACACCAAUUGCGAAGGCAGCUCGUUACACGAACAUUGACUCUGAGGCUCGAAAGCGUGGGGAUCAAACAGG
This 253-nucleotide ribosomal RNA is filed under the name uncultured bacterium. Its description in RNAcentral is "partial 16S ribosomal RNA". It matches the Rfam family "Bacterial small subunit ribosomal RNA", at positions 524 to 776 of the family's 1533-position model. The record is from RNAcentral.